CCUGGACACCUGCUUGUCAGGCGAUGCUGUUUACUCUGGAGGGAGUGACGGUGACUUGUGUAUCGCUGGGCAUCCCUGGGGACGUAGCUCAUCCGGGUUCCUAUCCCACAUAAGGCGACGCCUACGGUUUCUGACGAAAAGGGGUAUGCUCUGCUGGAUCCAGAGGGAGGACUGCUUCCACCAGGAGAGACAAUUGAACUAAAUUCCAUUGAACUAGAAGUUAAGACUGCCAUCCAACCACUUUGGGCUCCCCUCAUGCCUCUGAGUCAACAGGCCAAUAAGGGAGUUAUGGUGUUGGCUGGGGACUACCAUGACAACCAUGGGGAAAUCUGACAUAAAAGAGAAGCAACUAUCAACAUACUAUGAAGUAGCACAAGGCCUUCACCAGAUACAGUCGCCCAAUCUUGGACCAUCCAGCCCCGAGAACCAUAAGCUAAAUAAAC
Molecule: long non-coding RNA, 443 nt
Organism: Rhinopithecus roxellana (golden snub-nosed monkey)
Lineage: Eukaryota; Metazoa; Chordata; Mammalia; Primates; Cercopithecidae
Exons: 3
Source: RefSeq, a predicted model, not a curated record